This is a non-coding RNA of Potamilus streckersoni, 77 nucleotides long. NCBI's taxonomy places the organism in Eukaryota, Metazoa, Mollusca, Bivalvia, Unionida, Unionidae. The record is from the annotation of a GenBank genome assembly.
GACCGCUCCGGUGGCCAAGUGGUUAAAGCGUCCGCCUAGGAUGCGGAAGGUCGUGGGUUCGAUCCCCCGUCAAGUCA